GAUUCCUAGGCAUUCAUUGGCGAAGAAGGAUUUGGUAAGUUACGAAAAAAUGGGGGGACCGGUACUCACGCAUUUAUCCGCCGAUGUCCGAAUGGGGCAACCCGGCAUGUUGCAGACAGGUCAGUCUAAUUUUAUAGAGAGCAAACCCGGAGAACUGAAACAUCUAAGUACCCGGAGGAAAAGAAAUCGAAGAGAUUCCGUAAGUAGUGGCGAGCGAAAGCGGAUUAGCCCAAAAGCUUAUAUAUGUUUAAUAGAUUGUUCUUGAAAGAACAGCCGUAGAGGGKGAUAGCCCCGUAUAUGAAAGUCAUAUAUAAGUGAUAAAUGGGUAGGGCGGGACACGUGAAAUCCUGUCUGAAUAUGGGGGGACCAUCCUCCAAGGCUAAAAACCCCUGAAAGACCGAUUGCCCACACCUUCUGGGAAGGAAAAGUGAAACCCACUUCCAAAAGAAGGGUGAAAUCCAGCCUGAAACCGCACACCUACAAGCGGACGGAACCCAUAUGUUGGGUGACGGCCUGCCUUUUGAAUAACGAACC
Molecule: ribosomal RNA, 534 nt
Filed under: uncultured Flavobacterium sp.
Lineage: Bacteria; Pseudomonadati; Bacteroidota; Flavobacteriia; Flavobacteriales; Flavobacteriaceae
Description: bacterial LSU rRNA
Rfam family: Bacterial large subunit ribosomal RNA
Source: RNAcentral